GCCGGGUGCAGAGGGCCAAUUAUCAGUGGUGAUCGGAGCCAGGCACUCCGGCCCCAUCAGCUCAUGGGCAGGGAAGACGCAGGGAAGGGGACAUGGGGACUUCUUGCAAUGGAGCAGUUGACAGAAUCAGAACUACCUGCCAGGGGGCAAAAUUAGAGCCAGAAAUGAGUCUGGAGCUACAUGGACCUAGGAAGAAUAUUUAGAAGCCCUGCCCUCAUGAACUGGGAAGGAAGAAAAGACACCUUCCCCCACAACGCCACAGGAGCUAUCAAAUGUGCUCUUUUUAAAGUCAUUUCUAUUCUUUAAAAAAAUGCACCAUUGUGGUGCAGCCACUGUGAAAAGCAGCAUGGCGCUUCCUCAAACAAUUAAAAACAGAAUUACUCUGUGAUCUAACAAUUCCAAAAUGUGUACGGCCAUGUCCAUUUUAG
Molecule: long non-coding RNA, 428 nt
Filed under: Homo sapiens (human)
Lineage: Eukaryota; Metazoa; Chordata; Mammalia; Primates; Hominidae
Description: HSALNT0370724
Source: RNAcentral